AAAGCCAUUCUGCUUCUUCCUCUUUGGUUAGAAAACAGAGAGAGAUAAAACAAAACAAAAUAAAACAAAACAAAGGGUUGGCUUAUCUCUCUCUCUAAAAUCUAUCAAUGAAACCCUUUGUUUUCUAACACACGCCUCUACCCCUUCUUUGACUUCUCCCUUCCCCUCCCUUCCUCUCCAUACACACAGGGAAGAAGAAGUAACAGAAGAAGAGGCUGGGAAAAAGGAGUUUUUAGAGAGAAAAUCAAAGAGAGUGGUGAUAUAUUAUUAUUAUUAUUGUCAUCAUGGAGUCAACAACACCACAAGCAGUGGCAGCCAUUAAUGAGAAGGAGUCAAUGAUGGAUCCUUUCUUAGUUGAGGCUCUACAGAACCCACGUCACCGUCUCACCAUUUUGCGGAUGGAACUUGAUAUCCAGAGGUUUUUGCAAAACCCUGACCAACAACUAUUUGAAUUCCAGCAUUUCCCUACCUCCUAUCUUAGGCUUGCAGCACUCGCGUUGCUCAACACUAUGGGCUGAUAACCAUGGUACAGGAUAAUGGCAUUGAUGGUCUGGCAAAUAAGAUUCUGGUGCAAAAACCAGCUGAAUGCAGAUAUCCCGCGGUUCGCCUAUCUGAAAUUCCUGCUAAACAGUCGGGAAGUGAUACACCUGAGAUGAUUAAGCUUACAAUUAGACCCCGGCCUAACAAAGGGUCCAUAAAUGACCCUAACGGGUUCGGGAUCAAACGGAAUCCUGUGAGAAGUGUGGAAGAGAGGAAGGAGGAGUAUGAUAGGGCACGAGCUCGCAUCUUCAGUAGCCCUAGCAGCCCCACUGCAGACGAUACUGUGCCCCAGCUCCCUACAGAUAGCAAAAAUUUAAGUUCAAGCAAGGAUGAGAAUGAAGAGUGCAGGAUCUCUGUAGUUGAUCCAGAAAAAAAUGUCUUCGUAAGGGAUGGUAUGUCAUCUCGGGUUGCUAUUUUCAGAGAUAGGGAGAAGGAUCGCACUGACCCAGAUUAUGAUCGGAGUUAUGAAAGGUAUGUUAGGAGCCUUCCAGCUAAUCAGAGCUUUAGCUUGACACCAUUCAAUAUGCAGAAGAUUCCACUUCCUUAUAUGCAGUAUGAUCCCGGUUUUCCUCAGCUGGGUCAGAUGCCAAGGACACAAGCCUCCCUUGGCUACCACCCCGCUGCAAACCCAGCUAUGAGCCCCUUCUGUGCAAUGGGAUCAAAUCAGACUUCAAGGGAUGCUGCAUAUGUUCAAUGGCCAAGCACUGCAAUGAUGUAUGCACAUUCAUACGAUCAAUUUAGACAUGCUACUUUCCAGGCUUCAUUCUGUCAGCAACCUCUUAGCUUUGAUUACUCUCAAAACCAUUAAUGUCACAGCCAGAUGGGAAUUGCUGUGUUACUGAUUUACAUGCAGAUUUCUCUAUACUAGGAAACUCCCUGUUGUUAGGAUUGUUCAAAGACUUCGUUAUAAACCUCUUUUAAUUCCAGUUCUAGGUGGUCUCUGCUUAUAUUGUUGAAUCUUAUUAAAAUUAGUAAGGAGUGUGUGUAAUGAUGAGACUAUUUUAUUUGCUCAUUCA
This is an RNA transcript of Populus euphratica (Euphrates poplar), 1556 nucleotides long. RefSeq lists it as uncharacterized. NCBI's taxonomy places the organism in Eukaryota, Viridiplantae, Streptophyta, Magnoliopsida, Malpighiales, Salicaceae. The transcript has 4 exons. The record is from RefSeq and is a predicted model, not a curated record.